Molecule: long non-coding RNA, 3606 nt
Organism: Antechinus flavipes (yellow-footed antechinus)
Lineage: Eukaryota; Metazoa; Chordata; Mammalia; Dasyuromorphia; Dasyuridae
Exons: 2
Source: RefSeq, a predicted model, not a curated record
CCAACAAAAAUGAAAGAAGGAAGAUGUUCCAGCACAGACGUGUUUAUAGACACGGAUGUGCAUACAAUUCUUCGAGUGAAGGUUUGAGUGGAAAAGAAAAGGACAGAUGUCAUGUAGGCUGCGCCAAUAAAUCUGUGGUCCAAUAUUUCCCCAGACAGCAUACCUAUGAACGCCAUUACCCAAAUCUAAAGUGCGGGCAUUAGACUUGAAAAUACGGUCUGCAACAAAAAUUGUGUGGUACAUGCAGAUAGCUUGAGAAUUGUAUGUUCAAACAGAAUGCAAAUACAGACAAGCCAAAUCCUCUGGACAACCCCCAAGACCGCCCAAACGGAAGAAAUAACGCCCACACAUAGACUCGUGCUGUUACUUUGCUUUCAGAAAAAGUAGCUCACGGGGUGUGCUGGAUGCGCAGCCUCAAUGAAUCCCAGGUGGGACCAUCCAGAACUCCCGGAUGCUAAGAGAAAGAUAUUCAUCUGGUAAUAGAUGCAGCCAACAGGAUCCACUGAACAGUUAGUUAAGUUGCAAAGACAAAACCUACCUCUGAUUCUGAACUUCAUCAACUUGGCCAUAAAAAGACUUUGGUAUCCAGGAUAAGGAUUCCAAUAUUCUGUGAAACGGGAGACGCAGGGUUGGGGAUUAGUCGAAUUGGGAGUUUAGAGGAAGGUAGCGUAUGCAAAUUAAAGAUAAGUCGUUGCUGAUUGAUUCCAAGAACCAAGAAAACCUCCUAAAUGUGGCAACUCCAGAACAAAACGAGUCACUAGACUGUUUUCUAAGAAGUCAGAAAAUCAAACCAAUCUUCUUUACCCACUUUCUUUCUCAAUCUUAACUUUCAUCAUCUUUCCUGAAUAUGUAAAAGUUAAAAGACUGAAUAUCUAGAUGCAAGAGUGAUGGGGAAAGAAUAAAUAGUGCUACAUUAAGGGAGGAAAAAAAAAAAAACACUUUCCUUUCCCCAUUUUUUUCUUUUGCUUGUAAAACUCUCUGCAGCAUAUACUAUACUAUUAACUGGAGUUUGCUGAAAGUUUUAAUGCUUAAUUUAAUAGCAAAAGACAUUUUCUUGACUGCUUUCUGGUUUAUGCUGUUCAUCUGGGAGAAAAUCCAGGUGGCACAUUUAAAUCUAGUGGAAAUGUAAUUCAGUAAAUUUUUCCAGUGCAAAUGGGUUUAAGAUAGACAGAUCAUGAGAAAGCAGGUACUUUUAUUUGAAAAUAAAAGUUCAAUUCUGUUAACACCUAAUGCCUGGCAUAGGGAAGGUGAACAACAAAUGAUUGUUGAAUAUAAUUGAAAGGAUCAAUAUAAUAAAGCUAAAAGGAUAUCGAUCAAUUUUGAACUUCAAAAAUGAUUUCAACUAGUGUGCAGAGAAGGACAUAAAAUUAGUAAAUGCUAAAGACAAUCAUCUCCAUGCAAGUUCUGGAAUGAUGCCAAUAUUAUGAUGUUAUCUGUCAAAAGGUAAACAAGUAUAUAUUCUUUAUAGAUUCAUGUUGGUGUUUGGUCACCAGCAUUAUAAAAAUGUGACUGAUUCAGGUAUUUCUAGUGCAUUUUGAAAUUAGUAUAAAAAGCAAAGUCUGAUAGCUCAUAGGAAUUAACGAAUCUCAAAUAUUGAGAAAGGAAUAUUUCAUUAAAGGAAAACUCUCUAAAUCUGUCUUGGUUAUUUGUACCUUGUCUGGUAGGCACUUUAAAUAUCUACUUUAAUUCUUCAUUGGUAUGCCAAUGUAUUUUUUCAUGUAUCUUUCCUAGAAGAUGUCAUUCCCCUAUCUUCAUUCAGAGAGAUGCUGACAGAUAUUUCCAAAGGAUUGUAUAGAAUGCAAAAGGCAUUUACCUAGUCUAGUUUAAUGGAAACAAAAUGAACUUAGUGUAUUUAGUUUUUAAAAUUUUUUUUUUCUUAUAAGACAUGAUGAAACCAAGGCGCAGAGCAUUUCCAAUGUUGAUAGAUCCAGUUUGAAAAAAGCUUACCCUAUAAAUCAAACAAUUCUGGGGGCAAACCCAUGUUGUUUUUAAACCACAGAGUGGGUCAAUGGGUGUGGUUCUGCACAUCUUUGAAUGGUGAAUGUAUAGAUUAAAAUACAUUUUGCCACACUGGUUUCCAGAGGAUUGUUUUGGCCCAGUAUUCCAAUACCAUGAGCCAAAACUUUGGUCAGUAUUUUGACAACAGAGCCAGGAAAAACAAAAAAGGCUUAGCCUGUAAAAAAGAAAUGAAGAUGUAGUGAAGGAAAACAGUAGUCUCUCUGCCACUGCCUUACUCAAUCCAUAUGUGGGCUUAAACACAGGAAAUACCCACCAUUCACCGCAAUCAAGCCAGAGGCCUGUGCAUCAGAAAGUGCCUUGUGGAACUAAUUGGAAUCUAUUAAGAUUGUCAUUGACAUGGGAAAGCAUUUUGAAAUUUUAAAUCAGAACAUGCAACGUCCAAAGAAGAAGAUAACGUGGACGUUGUUGAUUCAUGAAUGCAGAUGUAGACACAGUACACUUAUUCACAUUAAAGGUUUAGUAUAUGUUUAAUCAUGUGAUACACUGUGUUAAUUUUAAUUCAGCAGCAUGUUGGCAUUCCAUAACUUUAUGUGUUUGCUUUAAAUCUUAGAUCUUUCCAGGGUCAAUGAAUUUCACUGGGUCUCCUCUGGUACUAUUUGAUAGCUAGAAAAGAUCCAAGAAUUAUCAGUUUACAAAGGUAAUCAACCAAGUUCAUUACACUUUUUAUAAAAGCAAAAUUUACUGAAACAAACAACCCCCUAAACCAAACUGUUUAGAAUAAUAGAACUUAGAGCAAACUCACAUUUUUUGAUCCAUAAUUGUUGGGAGAAGAAACACAUAUAUGUAGGCAUUCACACAUAUAAGCACACAAUUCCAAUCUCAAACCUUGCCAAUAGAUCUUUGAGAGACUUUAUAUGUCAGCAUUUCCAUUACAGAUAACUUAAGCAUGCCCUCUUUUCACCACUAUACUGGGUAUAUUGGGAAUUUGUGUUUUCUUACUUCUUCAAACUACAGUCUAAUUUAGUAACCUCUGAUUGGUUAUGACAAAGAUUCCAAUGUUCUGGUUGCCAAUCACUUUAGAUUUAUAGAUUAUUCUCACUUAUGUGUAAUAUUCCCUGAUGUAAAACUCAGUAUAUAGUUUACUAUAUAUUUAUAGUUUUACCACUUACACUGAGGACAUGCCAUAUUUCAUCAACCUACAGAGUUGAGAUGUCAUUAAAAGGUGUCAACAUCAGAUUUAGUAGAUUUUUUAUAUGAAAAAAGACAAUUGCAAUAACCACAAGUUACUGAUAAAUGUACCCCAUUUUCUCAAUAUGUCAAAAUAUUGAAUGUAUAUCCAUUUAAUCGUCAUGGUUUUUACUUUGUGGGUUUCAAAAUAUCUUCUUUGUUAGGGGUUACUUCUGUGCUCAUUCCACAUUUCUCCAAUUUCACAAACAAAAUAAUUGUAACUAGGGAGGUGUGUAAUUUGUGUUCAUGAAACUCAGAUUUACCAUGAAGAUAUCUCCUAGGGAAAGGAAAGUAUCUAUGGAUGUCUUUGUCAUAUUUUUAUUGAAUUGCUCCAUUUAUUCCUAUACCUUCCAAAUUAUACAGUCUUGAACUUUUGGCAUAAGUAUUUAACUGAUCAACAAUAAAAGACUGGCUACACUA